This is a non-coding RNA of Labrus bergylta (ballan wrasse), 2288 nucleotides long. The record is from RefSeq and is a predicted model, not a curated record. NCBI's taxonomy places the organism in Eukaryota, Metazoa, Chordata, Actinopteri, Labriformes, Labridae.
ACUCCUGCUGACGAGAACAGAGACACUUUAUAAAGAAACAGAUUCAGAUUCUGUUUUCAUUUAUUCACAUCCCGAUGUGUUUGGAUUUACAGAUUCUUCUUCUUCUGCGUCUUUACUCGUGCGUCUCGACUUUUUUGAGAUGUAGCAACACUAGACUGUCGGACAAGCAGCAGAAACAUCCUAUAAAGAAAGAUCUUACUAAAUUCUAAAGAUAUUUGUGAACGUUCAAAAUGUUUGUUUUUGGAACGAGGUUCGGUUUGAGCAGCUGUGAUGCAGCGCAGGACGUCAGGAGAAAAUCUCAAAGCAACGACAGUUUGGAUUGAAGGUUUCUGAAGCAUCCUGGAAGUCAGGGGAAUCUAAAUGCUGAUUGGCGCUGGCAACACAGCACCACACACACACAAUCCACAUCACAUGGCGGUGAUCCUUUUCGGUUGAAAUGUAUGUGUGAUGUCUCUCUAGAGCGCAGAAAGGUUUACAGACCGAUGCAGAGCUGGAUAAACACUGAAGCGUCAGAGUCCACCACUUGGCAGAUUUUCACUUCGUGUCAUAAAUGGACUCACUGUUUUCCUCUUAAGUCAAGCAAACAAACAGCAACCUUCCUUUUAGCUUGUUAGAUAUAAGAACAACAAACAGCUGUGUGUUUCUGUCUCCUCAUCAGCAAAGACCCUGACAGACGACUCGUCCCCUCAGCUGCUCGCUCACAGGAAGGCCGACCUAAAGGAGAGAAAGUCUGCCUACAGCCUGCUGGAGCUGUCUCUCAAGAAACUGGCCAUCAGGUUUGGAAAGUCCUGGAACGAACUUCGGAGCUUCGGAGUCCCGUAGCUGAGUACUGUAUGGAGCACUGGAGGGACGACUGGUUCUUUGGGUAUCAGUGUAUGAACGGUUCCAACCCGAGAUUGAUCCAGAGGUGUAAGAAGCUUCCUUCCGUCGAGAAUUUCCUCAUCACAGCGAACAUGGUGCAGAGCUCCAUGAGUCCCCGGACUCACCUGGACAGAGAACUGAAGGCAGGUAAUAGCUACCUGUUGGACUGUGCCAUCACAGACCAACACGAUCUGAGGUACACGUCAGCAUAUCGCUGCUCCGCUUUGCCUCCUGUACCAACACCCGGACCAGGGACUCAUACCUGUUGCUAUACAGCUGGAGCAGACUCCCGGUUUGGACACGCCCAUUUUCCUGCCCACAAACCCGCCCCUCACCUGGCUGCUGGCCAAGAUGUGGGUGCGUCACUCUGAGUUCCAGGCGUUCCAGCUGCUGUCUCACCUGCUCAGGACUCACCUGGUCUUAGAGGUGUUCUGUGUGGCAACUCUACGACAGCUGCCUGCUGUGCACCCUGUUUACAAGAUAAAACUGUGAUUGUUUUUUUUUUUCUUCGAGCGGCUUUGGAGGGAUGUGUGGACCACAGUAACAAGCACAUAUUAUGAUGUGCUGCACAGUCUCGAAGAAGAGGGACUGCUAGACAUCUCAAACAUGUUGCACAUCUUCCUGCUGCAUUUUGUGUUCCUACCUCGUCUACGCAGUGACCUUCAAACCUUCACUGAGGGCUGGAACCAUCACCCACUCCGCACAGAAGGAAACAUGACCCCUCAGCAGUUGUGGCAAAUGGGGCUGCUGCAAAACAGCACAGCCGAGGUUGAUAAUGUUGAGGUGCAUGCUUACAUUACUGCAUUUAUCUCUGUUGAACAUACAGUCCUCUCAACAACUGAAACAACAAGGCCAGUCAUAGGAAUUGGCCAACAUACACUUUUGCUUAAUUGAAACAAGGGUUGUCAAAGUAAAGUUGUUUGUUUGAAUCCUAGCAAGAACUUGACAUUGACUAGGAGAGUGCCCUUCACAGUCAUGAGCACCUUCCAGAAUGUGGGGUUAUGGUCCCAGAUUUCCCCUCACCUCUAAGUGACCAAGAUGUGGCAGACCUUCAAGCUGCUGUGGACCCUACAGCAUCAUCUGACAACCAUGGUCGAGACAUUUACUACCACUGUCUUCAAAUGUUUCAGUGAACGGUCAUUUUAUGUCAGUUAGAGGCCUCUAUAGUGCAUAUAGUGUUAUUAAGUUUGGGGAUCAAGAACACACACACACACACACACACACACACACACACACACACACACACACACACACACACACACACUAUAUGCUGUAUAUAUAAUUCCUAUAAAUCAAUCUUAAUGUUGUGUUAAUGUUCAUGUUACUGUUUAUUGUGGACUGUCCGAAUAUUUUGACAAAUUGUAUUUUUAUGCUUUGGCAACGUUGUUAUAGUUACUUUCAUGCCAAUAAAGCCCCUUUGAAUUGAA